Megalobrama amblycephala (Wuchang bream) is the source of this 2362-nucleotide long non-coding RNA. RefSeq lists it as uncharacterized. The record is from RefSeq and is a predicted model, not a curated record. NCBI's taxonomy places the organism in Eukaryota, Metazoa, Chordata, Actinopteri, Cypriniformes, Xenocyprididae. The transcript has 2 exons.
AUUUGAAUUAGAUUUUUUUUAUGUAACAUUUUUUGUCACUUUUGAUCAAUUUAAUCCAUCCUUGCUGAAUAAAAGUACUAAUGGCUUUCAAUAAUAAAAAAAUAAAUAUUAUUAUUGUUCUGUGCACAGCACACAUCUCUUUAUGAGUGGCCAGUAUGCAUGCUGGCUUUUAUUUUUAGCUGCUUACAAACCAGUUCCAGCAUGUUUCUUCUACAGACGCUUUCUUCCUUCUCCAUGUUUGUUCUUGCUUGUAUACACAGUUCUGAUUAAAAGCAUUUAUAUAGCGCCAUGCUUUUCAAACACCACAUCCUAAAUCACUAUGCCAGCUCACUGCCACGCCCUUUUGAAAGCAAUGACAUCACUGCAACUUACAUCCUUGGCCAUGGGCAUCUGUGGAAUGUUCCACGGUCCAAGAAACUGGCGUCACAAGAGACCUAAAAGGGCACAAGUGAUUGACAGCAACCCGCCUUGCCAACCUCGGUCCCUUAGGUAAAGUCUCUCAUAGCUUUCUGUGUUUAUUCAUCCUUGCCCUAUUCCACAAGACCCUGGAGGCGUCGUCCAAAACACAGUCAUUAUUUAUACAGCAGGAUCCAUUAGACAGGAACCAGCCCAAGCAAAACACGCCAUGCUGUGUAAUUGUCAUUUAUUUGUGAGGCUGAAAUCCAGGGCUGGUGGCUGGAGUUCUUGUGGGGAUUUGUGUUUGUUACGGAGCACUGGAGUGAAUGCUAGCCAUUUAAGGGCUUGAACGACUCUUUUCUACCGCUAAUGGAGACGUGGACUAUUAUAAAUUCAAGGACAGAGUGAGAAACAUGAGUCUUGAGAGUGGGAGUUUUUGUUUGACAUAAGAGUACAGAAGGAAUCCUGCUUAUUCCAAUUAUCUCUUUAUGAAUGAGCAAUAAAAUUAGCAAAGGAUUGUAUUAGUAAUGUAGAUGAAGAGAUAGAUGCUCAUUUGGUUAUUCUCUGAACAACACAGCAGUCUCGAUUAUGGUGAUAAUAUGACCAAUGCUAACUGAAGUAUUUCUCUUUUCAUGCAUGAUGCUGCUCACACGCAGACACUCUGAAUGUGCUGGAUUGUGUCAGUCGGGGGAUUUAUCAGGGAGUUGAAGUAUGAAUCUGGGCUUCAUGGUGGAUUUGAGAUUCUUGGAACCGUUUAAGUGGCACUAACACAGUGACUGUUUCAAAAAUCACUCCCCAUAUUGAGCAAUUGUCUGGAGAUCACAUUCUCUCACUCUCUUUGUGUUUGUGCACUUGUGAAUGUGUGCAUGAAUUUGUGCAUUCAAAUCUUUGGGUAGACAGAGAAUCGAUUUGAGUCACGAUUCAUAGGUUUUCGUUUUUCGAUUAAGGUACGAUUUUUGCAAAUUUAGAAUGAUUUGAUCUGAUUCAUAAUUAGAUUUCAUUUGAAUUUGAUUCGUAUUUUUUAUAUAGAAUAUUAUUUGAUACAUUCAGUUUUCUCAACUUCUCACGCAAAUAUAGAAUCAUUCUACAUCACAAGCAAUGCCACUGAAUGACAGCAUCAAACAAGAAGCUAAAGCUUUACUGCUGGAAUUGUUUGCUAUUUGGGCCGCCGUUGCAACUGUUUUAAAUAUGUUAAUCUUUGAGAAAACAGUCAUUUUGUUGAAUUACUGGUCAGUCGGUACAUUUACAAACUCAGCACUGACCUGGUUCAAGAGUGAUGGUUUGUUACUAUAUGUUCAAAUAUUUUACUAAAAUAGUGGUUGGGAUUUUUAUUCAGCUCAGUGAUUUUUGUGUCUCUGUGACUCAGAAUCUUUUGAAUCUGUUCAGCAUAAAGAUUUGUUCAGAUGUGUUCAUGGAUUGAGGUAUUCUUUCAGAUUAGUUGCAGACACUUGUCUUUUGUUAUGAAUGAAUCACCAAAUGAUUGAACCGAAUCAUUUAAACAAUUUGAUAAAUAACAGUGUUGUUCACAACUGAAACAAUUCUUUAUUAUCUAUUUAGAAACUUUUUUUUUUUUCAUCAAAAUGUCUGUGAAAAAUAUGAGUCAGUGCAUGGAUUCAUAAAUGGAUAAAAGAUUUGUUCAAAAAUACAGAUUCACUCAUAAACAAAUCACCACUAAGUCAUUCUACCACUCGAAAAGGAGAUAUUUAGCACUGUUUCCUACAGUGGUAUGUUCACAGAACAUAGCAUAUCUGUAGUAUAUAGCACAUGCUAAGCUGUCAGAGAGUCUGUGUGUUGGUGCCAUGAUGCUAGACAUCAGUGCCCGUGAUGUGCGACACAGAUUUAAUCUUCAUUACAUGUAUGUGCUUUACAUCAAGGCUGUGGUUUUGCAUUGUUAGAGUUCUUAGAUACCGCAUAUGUGUAUGUGCGUGCAUGUGUGAAAUUCUAAUAAAGUUUCUUAUAAAAAGGC